UCCAUUCAGCCGUCAGUUUUCAGUAUUCAGCGUUCAGAUACCACAAGUUUCACAAGUUAUAUGACAAGGAACACAAAUUUUAAUUUGCGCCCAUUCGUGAAAUUUGCAUUCAGAUAACCCUGCAUAAUCAUUGACAAUUAACAAUUUACCAUCAAUUUCGGCGUUCACCCAUGGGCCUCGGGCGGUGAGCCGACGGAGCAGCGAGCAGGGCGAAAGAAAAUCAGGCUGUCAGUUACCUGAUUUUCCGACCUGCGAGCGUAGCGAAGUCGUGUGAAGCGCACGAAGCCUUGACUUUUUGGUUACUUUUGGGUCAAGCCAAAAGUGACGGAAAGAGAUUAUAUCAGGCUUUCAGCCCUCAAAGCAAGGUAUGGGAAUCGAUACCCCACCCUCGCGGGAUGGGGCUGAAAUAUACCGGGCUUUCAGCCCUGCCGAACAAUGGUUAAUGGUCAAUUGUUAUUUGAAUGAUGAACGUAUUUUACCACUUUCAUUCUAUAAAAAACAUUAAUUUAUGCCGUUGUUGUGCAACAACGGGGUCAAAACAGCUGUUUAAGGGUCAUUGUUGUACAACAACGGGCAAAAACAGCUGUUUAAAUGCCGGAUACUCGGUUUCCGCCCUUUGCGACGGAGCGACCGGAGUCUCUCUGCGAAGGCGAUUGCCGG
RNAcentral lists this small RNA (660 nucleotides) under Tannerella forsythia 3313. RNAcentral's name for it is "Acido-Lenti-1 RNA". Lineage: Bacteria; Pseudomonadati; Bacteroidota; Bacteroidia; Bacteroidales; Tannerellaceae. The record is from RNAcentral.